AACGAACGCUGGCGGCAGGCUUAACACAUGCAAGUCGAACGCCCCGCAAGGGGAGUGGCAGACGGGUGAGUAACGCGUGGGAAUGUGCCCCAAGGUACGGAACAACAGCGGGAAACUGCUGCUAAUACCGUAUGUGACCGAGAGGUGAAAGAUUUAUCGCCUUGGGAUCAGCCCGCGUUAGAUUAGGUAGUUGGCGGGGUAAUGGCCCACCAAGCCUACGAUCUAUAGCUGGUCUGAGAGGAUGAUCAGCCACACUGGGACUGAGACACGGCCCAGACUCCUACGGGAGGCAGCAGU
RNAcentral lists this ribosomal RNA (297 nucleotides) under uncultured bacterium. RNAcentral's name for it is "partial 16S ribosomal RNA". It matches the Rfam family "Bacterial small subunit ribosomal RNA", at positions 29 to 355 of the family's 1533-position model. The record is from RNAcentral.